UACGGAGGGUGCAAGCGUUUAUCCGGAUUCACUGGGUUUAAAGGGUGCGUAGGAGGGCAGGUAAGCCAGUGGUGAAAUCCCCGAGCUUAACUUGGGAACUGCCGUUGAUACUAUCUGUCUUGAAUGUUGUGGAGGUAAGCGGAAUAUGUCAUGUAGCGGUGAAAUGCUUAGAUAUGACAUAGAACACCAAUUGCGAAGGCAGCUUGCUACACAAUUAUUUGACUCUGAUGCACGAAAAGCGUGGGGAUCAAACAGG
Molecule: ribosomal RNA, 256 nt
Filed under: uncultured bacterium
Lineage: Bacteria
Description: partial 16S ribosomal RNA
Rfam family: Bacterial small subunit ribosomal RNA
Source: RNAcentral